Molecule: ribosomal RNA, 440 nt
Filed under: uncultured bacterium
Lineage: Bacteria
Description: partial 16S ribosomal RNA
Rfam family: Bacterial small subunit ribosomal RNA
Source: RNAcentral
CCUACGGGAGGCAGCAGUGGGGGAUAUUGCACAAUGGGGGAAACCCUGAUGCAGCGAUGCCGCGUGUGGGAAGACGGUCCUCUGGAUUGUAAACCACUGUCCCCAGGGACGAAGAUGACGGUACCUGGGGAGGAAGCUCCGGCUAACUACGUGCCAGCAGCCGCGGUAAUACGUAGGGAGCAAGCGUUGUCCGGAAUUACUGGGUGUAAAGGGAGCGUAGGCGGGAUGGCAAGUUGGCUGUUAAAUCUACCGGCUCAACUGGUAGUCGCACUCGAAACUGCUAUUCUUGAGUGAAGUAGAGGCAUGCGGAAUGCCUAGUGUAGCGGUGAAAUGCGUAGAUAUUAGGCAGAACACCAGUGGCGAAGGCGGCCUGCUGGGCUUUUACUGACGCUGAGGCUCGAAAGUGUGGGUAGCAAACAGGAUUAGAUACCCCGGUAGUC